ACUCCUACGGGAGGCAGCAGUGGGGAAUUUUGGACAAUGGGCGAAAGCCUGAUCCAGCCAUGCCGCGUGCAGGAUGAAGGCCUUCGGGUUGUAAACUGCUUUUGUACGGAACGAAACGGCCUUUUCUAAUAAAGAGGGCUAAUGACGGUACCGUAAGAAUAAGCACCGGCUAACUACGUGCCAGCAGCCGCGGUAAUACGUAGGGUGCAAGCGUUAAUCGGAAUUACUGGGCGUAAAGCGUGCGCAGGCGGUUAUGUAAGACAGUUGUGAAAUCCCCGGGCUCAACCUGGGAACUGCAUCUGUGACUGCAUAGCUAGAGUACGGUAGAGGGGGAUGGAAUUCCGCGUGUAGCAGUGAAAUGCGUAGAUAUGCGGAGGAACACCGAUGGCGAAGGCAAUCCCCUGGACCUGUACUGACGCUCAUGCACGAAAGCGUGGGGAGCAAACAGGAUUAGAAACCCCUGUAGUCCCAUGA
This 474-nucleotide ribosomal RNA is filed under the name uncultured organism. Its description in RNAcentral is "partial 16S ribosomal RNA". It matches the Rfam family "Bacterial small subunit ribosomal RNA", at positions 335 to 800 of the family's 1533-position model. The record is from RNAcentral.